CCUACGGGCGGCAGCAGUGGGGAAUAGUGCACAAUGGGGGAAACCCUGAUGCAGCGACGCCGCGUGAGUGAAGAAGUAAUUCGUGAUGUAAAGCUCUAUCAGCAGGGAAGAAAAUGACGGUACCUGAGGAAGAAGCCCCGGCUAACGACGUGCCAGCAGCCGCGGUAAUACGGAGGGGGCAAGCGUUAUCCGGAUGUACUGGGUGUAAAGGGAGCGGAGACGGCAGGGCAAGUCUGGCGUGAAAGGCGGGGGCUCACCCCCCGGACUGCUCGGGAUACUGUACGGCGGGAGUGCAGGAGAGGUACGUGGCAUUCCUCUUGUAGCUGUGAACUGCUUCGAUAUUAGG
Molecule: ribosomal RNA, 346 nt
Filed under: uncultured bacterium
Lineage: Bacteria
Description: partial 16S ribosomal RNA
Rfam family: Bacterial small subunit ribosomal RNA
Source: RNAcentral